AGCAGGAACGGGAGCGUGCUGCGGAGAAGGAAAAUUCCAGGGGAAUUGCCACGAGAGGAAAUACUUCAGAGGGGCUUCCCUCCAGCUAAGCCCUGAAUAUGCCAGGAGGUUUCAGCUGGGAGGAAAGGAGCUGUGGAAGAAAAGCAGCCUAAAAAUAGCCAGCGGGGAUCAUCAGGUUUUCCAGCCAAGAAGAACAAGGAGAGAGAUGAGGGAAUCGGGUUCCAAUUCCUAAUGAUUUGGUGGGUGCAGGAAUGAUUUCUGUGUGUUUUCCAGUCCCUUUUGAUUCCUGAGAUGAUUUUAAAAUGAUGGCUUUAGCAAUCAACUAAAUCGGAGAUGUUGUUUUUGAGAGGAAAUGAUGCCAAAUAAAUGCAGAGUUUUGGGUCAGUUUUUGG
This is a long non-coding RNA of Pseudopipra pipra, 392 nucleotides long. RefSeq lists it as uncharacterized. The record is from RefSeq and is a predicted model, not a curated record. Lineage: Eukaryota; Metazoa; Chordata; Aves; Passeriformes; Pipridae. The transcript has 2 exons.